GCUAGCCAGAAGGAGCAUGAUGUGAUUUAGUUCUGUUUGAUGAUUCUGCCUUGGUAAAUGUCAAAAGCAAGGAGCAGAGUAUUAAUAAUAAUUUGCAUCCAGCAUAGUAAAAGUGACUGUCUGAAGAGAACAUCGCAGAGAGCAGAAGACCACAAGGUUCCCCAGAAUCUCUUGACUUCUAGCAGACACAACCCGAGUGGCAGAUAUUCAUAGAGGUGGUAUGAAACAACAGGAAGAAGAGGAAGGAGGAAGAGGAAGGAGGAAGGAGAAAGGAGGAAAAGAAGAAACAACACUUUUAAAAUGCAGGGAAGGUCAACUUGACUAUCAAGAGACAAAAUCUGAUAUGCACUCUUUGCUAAUAUACAAUGGACAGAUGCCAAAUGAGGACUGAUAUAUCCAUGCCAAUUGUCCACGUGGAUCAGCAGUCUAUAGAAUAAAUGAUACUAACAUAAAAUUAUUCUGAAUGAC
RNAcentral lists this long non-coding RNA (468 nucleotides) under Salvator merianae (Argentine black and white tegu). RNAcentral describes it as "lncRNA (ENSSMRG00000022501.1)". Lineage: Eukaryota; Metazoa; Chordata; Lepidosauria; Squamata; Teiidae. The record is from RNAcentral.